GGUUAAUCUAAAUUUUCAUCGUCCGGCCUUCUGGGAGUCAGAGUUUAUUCAACAAAGUAACUGGAACCAGGGCAGUGGCUACUCUGUUUCCAGGCACAGGAAUACAGAUGUAGAACCGAAGUGGGUGGUCCUGAAAGCAAGGUGUUUUCUCUGUGUUCUAGAAUAUCAGCCUCGAACAGAACCAUAGCAGCCAACAUGUAGAAAGUGCUUAUUGUAUCCCAGGCACUAUUCAAAAUGCUUUACAUACGUCCAUGUGGUAUCACCAUCUGAAAAGAAACAGGUUUAGGGAGAUUAAGUAACAGCUCCAAGGUCUCCCUGCUUCCAGAGAAGAUCUCGGAAACCAAGUCUGCCUGCUCCAUCACCAGCGACCUGAACUCUCUCCCUGAGAAGAGCUGGGAAUUUAGUGACCAGAGCCACACGUAGUUCUCUUUCUCACUUGGGAAAGAUCCAACGGGAAGAAACAGAGAAGCUUCAUCCUGCCAGAAAAGAGCUUUGCUUUAGAAGGGACAAAUCAGUACAGAUUUUGUAUCGUGAUUUUGAAAAUCUGCUUUUACAAACCUAAUGGAUGACCUGAAAAAUACAGUCCCACCCAGACAAGCUCCACGGUCCUGGGCAGCUCUGAAACACUGCACCGUGCUGUCGACUUAUGAUGGAAAUAUAAACCAGCAACCCACUGAAAGGAUGGAAGGGGGUGGCAGAAGGACUUUGACUAUUGAAGCAUUCAUAUAAUAAUCAGAGAGGAAUUUAUAUUCUUGGCCAUCAAUGGAUUGCACAAUGCCCACUCACCUUGGAGAGCACAAUCUGCUUUACUCAGUCAACGAAUUCAAAUGCUAACGUCCUCCAGAAACACCCUCUCAGACAUGCCUGGAAAUAAUGCUUAGCCAGAUAUCCAGGCAUCCUGUGGUCCAGUCAAGAUGAUACACAAAAUUAAUCAUAAUACUUCUGAUGUCAGAAACUGCAAAAU
RNAcentral lists this long non-coding RNA (964 nucleotides) under Equus caballus (horse). Its description in RNAcentral is "lncRNA (ENSECAG00000045636.1)". Lineage: Eukaryota; Metazoa; Chordata; Mammalia; Perissodactyla; Equidae. The record is from RNAcentral.